CCCAAGACCUGUGAGGUCAUGUGGUUUCAGAGACAUAAGCUAAGCUUGGUAUAUAUUACAGAGAAGCCAUCCCAUCCGGGCGCGACCACUCUGAAGAUCUACCUCCUGAGUAAAAACAUGAAAGGAAAAGCAAGUUCAACUCCUUGGCAGAGAAGAGAUAAAUUCUUGAUUAUGAUUCUACCAGACUCUACUGAGCCGAGAGAAAACUGAGGAUAAAAAAGAAACUGGUGGUAAAAUUAGGAAGAAGCAAUGGAUGCUUGGAACACUGAGACACAGUAAAUCUUUACAAUGAGUGCUGAGGACAGGCACGUGACCCAAGCUAGGCCAGUUGGAUGCUCCCUCAGUGGAAUUUAAUUCUUGAGUAGGGGAACAAGGAAAUUGAAAACAAUCAGUGUUCAUUGCAUUCAGCACAGCCUCCUGACACUUUGGCCCUGCUGUGCACAGAUGUUGUGGUCUCUGAUACCUUGUCUCCAGGGCUGCUUUCUUUUCCUUUACUUCCUAGCCUGGUAUUCUGGCCUCUCAUUGAUUCUGUGAGCUCCUGAUCCUUUCCAAUAAAUUACCAUUAGCCUAAGUCAGGCUUAAUUUCUGUUGCUUGAAACAAAGGAGCCCUAAUACCUGCUCUAACCUGUCUUGUAAAGGUAGACCAUGCUAUGAAAUCCGUUAUCUUCCUCUAUUCUCUUUCAUGCACAUAUGUAUGUAUGUAUGUGUGUAUGUAUGUAGUAUGUAUGCUAGUGCACCCAGAACAGCUCUUUUAUCAUAUUAUAUCAGUUUUUAAAAAAUCAUUUACGGCCGGGCACGGUGGCUCACGCCUGUAAUCCCAGCACUCUGGGAGGCCAAGGUGGGCAGAUCACCUGAGG
This 857-nucleotide long non-coding RNA is filed under the name Homo sapiens (human). Its description in RNAcentral is "HSALNT0388628". The record is from RNAcentral. Lineage: Eukaryota; Metazoa; Chordata; Mammalia; Primates; Hominidae.